UACGUAGGGGGCUAGCGUUGUCCGGAAUCAUUGGGCGUAAAGCGCGCGUAGGCGGCCCGGUAAGUCCGCUGUAAAAGUCAAAGGCUCAACCUUUGAAUGUCAGUGGAUACUGCCGGGCUAGAGUCCGGAAGAGGCGAGUGGAACUCCUGGUGUAGCGGUGGAAUGCGCAGAUAUCAGGAGGAACACCUGUGGUGUAGACGGCUUACUGGACUAUAACUGACGCUGAGGAACGAAAGCGUGGGUAGCAAACAGG
This 253-nucleotide ribosomal RNA is filed under the name uncultured bacterium. RNAcentral's name for it is "partial 16S ribosomal RNA". It matches the Rfam family "Bacterial small subunit ribosomal RNA", at positions 524 to 776 of the family's 1533-position model. The record is from RNAcentral.